This 489-nucleotide ribosomal RNA is filed under the name uncultured bacterium. RNAcentral describes it as "partial 16S ribosomal RNA". It matches the Rfam family "Bacterial small subunit ribosomal RNA", at positions 29 to 507 of the family's 1533-position model. The record is from RNAcentral.
AGUGAACGCUGCGGUAGGCCUAACACAUGCAAGUCGAACGGCAGCACAGGAGAGCUUGCUCUCUGGGUGGCGAGUGGCGGACGGGUGAGGAAUACAUCGGAAUCUGCCCAGUCGUGGGGGAUAACGUAGGGAAACUUACGCUAAUACCGCAUACGACCUUCGGGUGAAAGAGGGGGAUCGCAAGACCUCUCGCGAUUGGAUGAGCCGAUGUCGGAUUAGCUAGUUGGCGGGGUAAUGGCCCACCAAGGCGACGAUCCGUAGCUGGUCUGAGAGGAUGAUCAGCCACACUGGAACUGAGACACGGUCCAGACUCCUACGGGAGGCAGCAGUGGGGAAUAUUGGACAAUGGGCGCAAGCCUGAUCCAGCCAUACCGCGUGGGUGAAGAAGGCCUUCGGGUUGUAAAGCCCUUUUGUUGGGAAAGAAAUCUUUCAGGCUAAUACCCUGGGAGGAUGACGGUACCCAAAGAAUAAGCACCGGCUAACUUCGUG